AGUUAAGCAGCUCUCCCGCUCCGCUCGUCUCACGGGUGUGCGUGAGGGUUCCAGGUUCCAACCUGUAAUAAAGAUCCUUGCUGUUUGGCUUUGACUCUGGCCUCUGGUGGUCUUCUCCAGGGAAUUAACGGUCUGGGCAUAACAGUACUACAUCUCAUGAAUUUAUCUUCAUGUGUGAGGUAGUGGAAAGAAAUGUCUUGAAAAUGAAGAAAAUAAAUCUGUGGAAAAACUCCAUUCUGUCUCCUCAUUGAUGUCUGCAUGGACCUGAGGGAAACACGCACCACAAAUGCCCUCUUCUGAGACACGCACAUCUAGACUCUAAGACUUUGAAACGACUUCCUUAACACCUGCCUGUAUUACCCUGGAAGACUUCCUAAGGACCUUUGAGAACUGGCUUGGGUAAGGUAGGUGAAAUCUUAUCUACAGCAGGUAAUGACCUUCAUGGGCACUGAUGGCCAUCAGUAGUUCUGACAUUGAAGCUACAGGAAUAACACGUGGCAUCUAUUUACACAGG
This is a long non-coding RNA of Piliocolobus tephrosceles (Ugandan red Colobus), 514 nucleotides long. RefSeq lists it as uncharacterized. The transcript has 4 exons. The record is from RefSeq and is a predicted model, not a curated record. Lineage: Eukaryota; Metazoa; Chordata; Mammalia; Primates; Cercopithecidae.